RNAcentral lists this long non-coding RNA (1121 nucleotides) under Equus caballus (horse). RNAcentral describes it as "lncRNA (ENSECAG00000041346.2)". Lineage: Eukaryota; Metazoa; Chordata; Mammalia; Perissodactyla; Equidae. The record is from RNAcentral.
GGCUCCUAGGUGACUUUAUUUUUGAUAUUUUCCUUCAACAAAUAUUUACCGAGCUUCUAUAUCAUGCUGUCCAAUAGAAAAAUAAUGCAAGCCACAAAUGUACUUUUUCUAGGAGCCACAUUUAAGGAGGUAAAAAGAAACAGAUGAAAUUAAUCUUAAUAAUAUACUGUACUUAAUAUAGUCAAAAUAUUAUUUUAACAUUUAGUCACUAGAAAAAUUCUUGAGAUACUUUAUAUUCUUUUUCUUUGGUACUAAGCCUUUUGAAAUUCAGUGUGUAUAUUAUAUUUUCAGGACAUCUCAUAUUGGACUAGCCCUAUUUCCAGCACUCAGUGGACACACAUAGCUGGACAGUGCAGUAUUGUGCUGGGUGUCUGCCUUCACUGAGUUGACAGUCUAGUGUGGGAAACAGGUAAUAAAGAGGUAAAUAAUUUUGGAGAGUGUUAUUGAGAAAAUAAUACAUCGGUAUUUGAGGGAUUGCGAAGCUGACUUAGAUGGCCUGGGGAGUUAGGAAAGCCUCUCUGAGGCUGAGACCCAGAUAGGAGGCAUUAACCAUCAAUUAUCUAUUGCCACAAUAAUGCUGUAUACACUAAACCAUUCCACAAGUCAGAAGCUGAACAUAGUAACUAGUUAUUAUUGUUCAUGAGUUUACAAGUUAGCUGGGCGGUUCUUCUGGUUGCAGGUGGGCUCCUGCAUCUGUGGGCGGCUGCAGGUCAGGCAGGUGGCUGUGCUGAUCCUGGCUGGGCUUGCAUGUUUGGGGUCUGCUGGCUGUUGAGUGGUGUAGGAUGACCUCAGCCCUUUUCCAUGUGGCUUCUCAUCUUCCAACAGGCUAGCCCAGGCCUGUUCUCACAGUGGAGGCAGGGAUCCCAGAGAGACCAUGGAAGCCUUCAAGGUUUCUUAAGGCUCAGGUUCAGGACUAUAUCACUGGAGGCCGGUCUGGUUGCACAGUGGUUAGGUUCGCACAUUCUGCUUCGGUGGCCCGGGGUUUGCCAGUUCGGAUCCCAGGUGUGGACCUACUCACUGCUUGGCAAGCCAUGCUGUGGCAGGCGUCCUACAUAUAAGGUAGAGGAAGAUGGGCACGGAUGUUAGCUCAGGGCCAGUCUUCCUCAGCAAAAAGAGGAGGA